AGAGUUUGAUCCUGGCUCAGGAUGAACGCUAGCUACAGGCUUAACACAUGCAAGUCGAGGGGCAUCAGGAAGAAAGCUUGCUUUCUUUGCUGGCGACCGGCGCACGGGUGAGUAACACGUAUCCAACCUGCCCUUUACUCGGGGAUAGCCUUUCGAAAGAAAGAUUAAUACCCGAUGGGAUAAUUAUUCCGCAUGGUUUGAUUAUUAAAGGAUUCCGGUAAAGGAUGGGGAUGCGUUCCAUUAGGUUGUUGGUGAGGUAACGGCCCACCAAGCCUUCGAUGGAUAGGGGUUCUGAGAGGAAGGUCCCCCACAUUGGAACUGAGACACGGUCCAAACUCCUACGGGAGGCAGCAGUGAGGAAUAUUGGUCAAUGGGCGCUAGCCUGAACCAGCCAAGUAGCGUGAAGGAUGAAGGCUCUAUGGGUCGUAAACUUCUUUUAUAUAAGAAUAAAGUGCAGUAUGUAUACUGUUUUGUAUGUAUUAUAUGAAUAAGGAUCGGCUAACUCCGUGCCAGCAGCCGCGGUAAUACGGAGGAUCCGAGCGUUAUCCGGAUUUAUUGGGUUUAAAGGGAGCGUAGGUGGACUGGUAAGUCAGUUGUGAAAGUUUGCGGCUCAACCGUAAAAUUGCAGUUGAUACUGUCAGUCUUGAGUACAGUAGAGGUGGGCGGAAUUCGUGGUGUAGCGGUGAAAUGCUUAGAUAUCACGAAGAACUCCGAUUGCGAAGGCAGCUCACUGGACUGCAACUGACACUGAUGCUCGAAAGUGUGGGUAUCAAACAGGAUUAGAUACCCUGGUAGUCCACACAGUAAACGAUGAAUACUCGCUGUUUGCGAUAUACAGUAAGCGGCCAAGCGAAAGCAUUAAGUAUUCCACCU
Molecule: ribosomal RNA, 873 nt
Filed under: Bacteroides fragilis str. 3986 T(B)9
Lineage: Bacteria; Pseudomonadati; Bacteroidota; Bacteroidia; Bacteroidales; Bacteroidaceae
Description: bacterial SSU rRNA
Rfam family: Bacterial small subunit ribosomal RNA
Source: RNAcentral